Molecule: ribosomal RNA, 989 nt
Filed under: Mogibacterium timidum
Lineage: Bacteria; Bacillati; Bacillota; Clostridia; Peptostreptococcales; Anaerovoracaceae
Description: bacterial SSU rRNA
Rfam family: Bacterial small subunit ribosomal RNA
Source: RNAcentral
CGAGAAGCUUGGAAAUGACGCUUCGGUUGAUUUUCCAAGCGGACAGCGGCGGACGGGUGAGUAACGCGUAGGCAACCUGCCCCUGACAGAGGGAUAGCCAUUGGAAACGAUGAUUAAAACCUCAUGACACCGUAGUAGCACAUGCUACAUCGGUCAAAGAUUUAUCGGUCAGGGAUGGGCCUGCGUCUGAUUAACUGGUUGGUGAGGUAACGGCUCACCAAGGUGACGAUCAGUAGCCGACCUGAGAGGGUGAUCGGCCACAUUGGAACUGAGACACGGUCCAAACUUCUACGGAAGGCAGCAGUAGGGAAUCUUGCACAAUGGGCGAAAGCCUGAUGCAGCAACGCCGCGUGAAGGAUGAAGGCCUUCGGGUUGUAAACUUCUGUUCUAAGGGAAGAAAGAAAUGACGGUACCUUAGGAGCAAGCCCCGGCUAACUACGUGCCAGCAGCCGCGGUAAUACGUAGGGGGCAAGCGUUAUCCGGAAUUGAUUGGGCGUAAAGAGUGCGUAGGUGGUUACCUAAGCGCAAGGUUUAAAUUAGAGGCUCAACCUCUACAUGCCUUGCGAGCUGGGCUACUUGAGUGCAGGAGGGGAAAGCGGAAUUCCUAGUGUAGCGGUGAAAUGCGUAGAUAUUAGGAGGAACACCGGCGGCGAAGGCGGCUUUCUGGACUGUAACUGACACUGAGGCACGAAAGCGUGGGUAGCAAACAGGAUUAGAUACCCUGGUAGUCCACGCCGUAAACGAUGAGCACUAGGUGUUGGGUCCGUUAGGACUCAGUGCCGCAGUUAACGCAAUAAGUGCUCCGCCUGGGGAGUACGCUCGCAAGAGUAAAACUCAAAGGAAUUGACGGGGGACCGGCACAAGCAGCGGAGCAUGUGGUUUAGUUCGAGCAACGCGAAGACUACCAGGGCUUGACAUCCUGCUGACAGUGCCUUAAUUCGGUUUUUUUCUUCGGAACAGCAGAAGACCAGGGUGGUGCCAUGGGUUCG